GAUGAACGCUGGCGGCGUGCCUAAUACAUGCAAGUCGAGCGAACGGACGAGAAGCUUGCUUCUCUGAUGUUAGCGGCGGACGGGUGAGUAACACGUGGAUAACCUACCUAUAAGACUGGGAUAACUUCGGGAAACCGGAGCUAAUACCGGAUAAUAUUUUGAACCGCAUGGUUCAAAAGUGAAAGACGGUCUUGCUGUCACUUAUAGAUGGAUCCGCGCUGCAUUAGCUAGUUGGUAAGGUAACGGCUUACCAAGGCAACGAUGCAUAGCCGACCUGAGAGGGUGAUCGGCCACACUGGAACUGAGACACGGUCCAGACUCCUACGGGAGGCAGCAGUAGGGAAUCUUCCGCAAUGGGCGAAAGCCUGACGGAGCAACGCCGCGUGAGUGAUGAAGGUCUUCGGAUCGUAAAACUCUGUUAUUAGGGAAGAACAUAUGUGUAAGUAACUGUGCACAUCUUGACGGUACCUAAUCAGAAAGCCACGGCUAACUACGUGCCAGCAGCCGCGGUAAUACGUAGGUGGCAAGCGUUAUCCGGAAUUAUUGGGCGUAAAGCGCGCGUAGGCGGUUUUUUAAGUCUGAUGUGAAAGCCCACGGCUCAACCGUGGAGGGUCAUUGGAAACUGGAAAACUUGAGUGCAGAAGAGGAAAGUGGAAUUCCAUGUGUAGCGGUGAAAUGCGCAGAGAUAUGGAGGAACACCUGUGGCGAAGGCGACUUUCUGGUCUGUAACUGACGCUGAUGUGCGAAAGCGUGGGGAUCAAACAGGAUUAGAUACCCUGGUAGUCCACGCCGUAAACGAUGAGUGCUAAGUGUUAGGGGGUUUCCGCCCCUUAGUGCUGCAGCUAACGCAUUAAGCACUCCGCCUGGGGAGUACGACCGCAAGGUUGAAACUCAAAGGAAUUGACGGGGACCCGCACAAGCGGUGGAGCAUGUGGUUUAAUUCGAAGCAACGCGAAGAACCUUACCAAAUCUUGACAUCCUUUGACAACUCUAGAGAUAGAGCCUUCCCCUUCGGGGGGGCAAAGUGACAGGUGGUGCAUGGUUGUCGUCAGCUCGUGUCGUGAGAUGUUGGGUUAAGUCCCGCAACGAGCGCAACCCUUAAGCUUAGUUGCCAUCAUUAAGUUGGGCACUCUAAGUUGACUGCCGGUGACAAACCGGAGGAAGGUGGGGAUGACGUCAAAUCAUCAUGCCCCUUAUGAUUUGGGCUACACACGUGCUACAAUGGACAAUACAAAGGGCAGCGAAACCGCGAGGUCAAGCAAAUCCCAUAAAGUUGUUCUCAGUUCGGAUUGUAGUCUGCAACUCGACUACAUGAAGCUGGAAUCGCUAGUAAUCGUAGAUCAGCAUGCUACGGUGAAUACGUUCCCGGGUCU
RNAcentral lists this ribosomal RNA (1373 nucleotides) under uncultured bacterium. RNAcentral's name for it is "bacterial SSU rRNA". It matches the Rfam family "Bacterial small subunit ribosomal RNA", at positions 28 to 1381 of the family's 1533-position model. The record is from RNAcentral.